UGUUGUUCUCAUCGAGUUCAACAGGAUCAUGUCUUGGAACUAGAUACCAAAGUACCUAUUCGAUAGAUACGGUACUCUACCAGAUCUCCUUGAUGGUGCUUUUACAAUGGGUUUUGAGUUUGAUCUAAUCAAAUUUGGUUCUAUGGGUUCAUUAGAUUGUGUCAGUUUUUCUACCGUCGAACUUCAUAAGUUUCACAUUAAAGACAUCAAUACCUUCAUCAAGAUACUUUUUUUUAAAAAAGAAUAUCAAACAAUUUUAUUCUUUAGCAUAAUAGAAGUUAUAUCUCCUAGAUUCUUUGAGGUCAUCCUAUAAAAUAAUAUAUAUAGGACUGAGAUCCAAGCUAAUCGAUCUGCAAAUGCUUGACAUAAAACAAACACUUUCAAACCUUAAAGUAAGAGAAUAUCGGCUUCGCCUAGUCCAUAUCUCAUAUGGAGUCCUUGCGACUGAUUAGUUCAGAAUCUAGUUCAGAACAUGACAAAUAGUCUUAAGAGUAUAACUUUAAAAGGAGACAGGUAGAUUUGCAAAUCUCAUCAUGGAUCGAACUAUGUCUAACAAAGUCAAUUUCAAUAAAAGAGAAUCCUUAUUCUCUUCUAAAUAUGUCAAAAUUUACUUGAAAUACAUUCUCCUCUUUGGUC
RNAcentral lists this long non-coding RNA (636 nucleotides) under Elaeis guineensis (African oil palm). Its description in RNAcentral is "long non-coding RNA (EGUI_LNC033526)". The record is from RNAcentral. Lineage: Eukaryota; Viridiplantae; Streptophyta; Magnoliopsida; Arecales; Arecaceae.